AACGAACGCUGGCGGCAUGCCUAACACAUGCAAGUCAAACGAGACCUUCGGGUCUAGUGGCGCACGGGUGCGUAACGCGUGGGAACCUGCCCUUAGGUUCGGAAUAACUCCCCGAAAGGGGUGCUAAUACCGGAUAAUGUCUUCGGACCAAAGAUUUAUCGCCUUUGGAUGGGCCCGCGUUGGAUUAGCUAGUUGGUAGGGUAAAAGCCUACCAAGGCGACGAUCCAUAGCUGGUCUGAGAGGAUGAUCAGCCACACUGGGACUGAGACACGGCCCAGACUCCUACGGGGGGCAGCAGUGGGGAAUAUUGGACAAUGGGCGAAAGCCUGAUCCAGCAAUGCCGCGUGAGUGAUGAAGGCCUUAGGGUUGUAAAGCUCUUUUACCCGGGAUGAUAAUGACAGUACCGGGAGAAUAAGCUCCGGCUAACUCCGUG
This 433-nucleotide ribosomal RNA is filed under the name uncultured bacterium. Its description in RNAcentral is "partial 16S ribosomal RNA". It matches the Rfam family "Bacterial small subunit ribosomal RNA", at positions 29 to 507 of the family's 1533-position model. The record is from RNAcentral.